Molecule: small nucleolar RNA, 88 nt
Filed under: Phascolarctos cinereus (koala)
Lineage: Eukaryota; Metazoa; Chordata; Mammalia; Diprotodontia; Phascolarctidae
Source: RNAcentral
GAGACUGUGAUGAUGCUGCUAGUUAUCGCAUGUUCGAGUUCUACCGACCAUGAGAUGAAAAGAUCCAUGCACCUCCAUCUGAGAUCUC